CGUAGGGUUGUUGCAGGGUGCGGGCUUGGGCCACAUGCAUGCACCCUUGUCGGGCGUGGGCCAGAUGGCCAACACACAUGCGGGCUGGUGCGCGCAUAUGGGUUUCCCCUUGCACGCAUCUGUACACACACCGAGCGUGCGGGGAGCCUUUCCGCAUGUGCAUACGGUUCUUCCUAAGGCUACAUGGGCUGGCCUUAUGCCUUUGGCUUUAAUCUUCUUAUGUCGUGGCCCACUUUGGUCGUAUGGCUUUGAAGUCAUCUUAGGUUGGGCCAGAAGUGAGUUUUUCCGUUCGAUUCUUCGAGCCCAUUAAUCUUACUUGGGCCUUAAGCCUACUAGUUUAGACAAACUUCACCCAUUUCCGAGAAUAAUCUCAAUUAGGAAAGCAUUUAGGGAUAAAUUUACUUUCUUGUUCUGGACGUUCCUCAUUGAGGCAAGAUUGCAGUUUUAAAAUUAUUUUUGGACUGUCUAGGAUCACAUCAUCCCCCUCUUCUUCAAAAAGAUUCAUCCUCGAAUCUAGGCCUUCAUCAUAGGGGAAAAGAUUAGUCAAUUGAAAACACACCAUACUUUCUCGACAUGUUUACUCCGUUAUUGAUGAAUGUCAUGACUUGAUUCACAAUUCCUCCAAGAUCUGGAUUAAAUCUUCGUAGUCCACUUUUCAUGGUAAUUAUCUACAUUAGGAAAACAAUACAACUAUGCAUAUAGUGUUUAAGAUCAAAAUGAAUCUCUCCAUAGGUAAGUACAAUGAAACUUCCCUUUUCACAAGAGAGAAUCAUUAAUAUUUUGUCCCUGUCACCAAAACACUCUUUUGUUUUCUUUCUCUAUUUUUCCCUUAGUGGACCAUCUUUAGAUGUCUGCUGGGCAGCUUUUAUGCUCAAUGGACCAUUAACUUUCUCUUCGACCUCUUUUCUCUUUUUUGCCCUUCUUGAGUAUUCAUCAAAAGACUGCUUAAUUUUGACCUGAUCUCCAUGUGCCUCUUUUGGUGAUAGAAGCGCAAGGAUAUUAUUUAGAUCAUCCUUUCGUAAUGAAAAUCGAUUGGUACUGUUGUUAUAUUGUACAUAUCUAUCAAACUGCCAAGGUCUCCCAAGUAUCAAGUGACUGGUAUGCAUAGGUACAAUGUCACAACAUAGUAGUCAUGAUAUUCUCCAAUGAAAAAUGACACUAUGACUUGGUUGGAAUGGGUAAAGAUUUGGAUGUUUAAUGCAUGUCAACCCUACUCUUUCCAUAAAUAGAGUGAUUGCCAAAUUAGCACAGUUACCACAGUCAAUGACUAUUCUACAUACCUUACUAUCAUAAAGGCAUUGGGUGUAGAAUAUGUUCUCCCUCUGCUCAUUGUCUUAUCCCUAGGUUUGCAGGUUCGCGACACUUCAAACAACAAGGUUGCUUUCUCAUAAGAAAAGUAUGCCACUUUAUUGAAACAUAGUGAAUUUUCUUGCAAGGUAAUNN
Molecule: long non-coding RNA, 1443 nt
Filed under: Carica papaya (papaya)
Lineage: Eukaryota; Viridiplantae; Streptophyta; Magnoliopsida; Brassicales; Caricaceae
Description: long non-coding RNA (CPAP_LNC001027)
Source: RNAcentral